Molecule: ribosomal RNA, 253 nt
Filed under: uncultured bacterium
Lineage: Bacteria
Description: partial 16S ribosomal RNA
Rfam family: Bacterial small subunit ribosomal RNA
Source: RNAcentral
UACGUAGGUGGCAAGCGUUGUCCGGAUUUAUUGGGCGUAAAGGGUGCGUAGGCGGUCAUUUAAGUCAGAUGUGAAGUACCCGAGCUUAACUUGGGUGCUGCAUUUGAAACUGGGUGUCUAGAGUGCAGGAGAGGUAAGUGGAAUUCCUAGUGUAGCGGUGAAAUGCGUAGAGAUUAGGAAGAACACCAGUGGCGAAGGCGACUUACUGGACUGUAACUGACGCUGAGGCAUGAAAGCGUGGGGAGCAAACAGG